Cherax quadricarinatus is the source of this 72-nucleotide non-coding RNA. The record is from the annotation of a RefSeq genome assembly. Lineage: Eukaryota; Metazoa; Arthropoda; Malacostraca; Decapoda; Parastacidae.
GGGAGUGUAGUUCAGAGGUAAAGCGUUCGCUUUGCAUGCGAAAGGUCCCGGGUUGGAUCCCCGGCAUUUCCA